GACGAACGCUGGCGGCGUGCUUAACACAUGCAAGUGGAGCGACGAACCAGGCUUCGGCCUGGGGCAAAGCCGCGAACGGGUGAGUAACACGUGGGUAACCUGCCCCGAUGACCGGGACAACCCGAGGAAACUCGGGCUAAUACCGGAUGUGCUGCCCUCACGCGAGUGAGGGUUGCAAAGGAAGCUUCGGCCUCCGCAUUGGGAUGGGCCCGCGGCCCAUUAGCUUGUUGGUGAGGUAACGGCNCACCAAGGCUGCGAUGGGUAGCUGGUCUGAGAGGACGAUCAGCCACACUGGGACUGAGAC
Molecule: ribosomal RNA, 304 nt
Filed under: uncultured bacterium
Lineage: Bacteria
Description: bacterial SSU rRNA
Rfam family: Bacterial small subunit ribosomal RNA
Source: RNAcentral